Molecule: small nuclear RNA, 19 nt
Filed under: Arabidopsis thaliana (thale cress)
Lineage: Eukaryota; Viridiplantae; Streptophyta; Magnoliopsida; Brassicales; Brassicaceae
Description: snRNA_06480
Source: RNAcentral
AAGGUGAACAGCCUCUGGU